CGGCGUGCUAUACAUGCAAGUCGUACGCUUCUUUUUCCACCGGAGCUUGCUCCACCGGAAAAAGAAGAGUGGCGAACGGGUGAGUAACACGUGGGUAACCUGCCCAUCAGAAGGGGAUAACACUUGGAAACAGGUGCUAAUACCGUAUAACAAUCGAAACCGCAUGGUUUUGAUUUGAAAGGCGCUUUCGGGUGUCGCUGAUGGAUGGACCCGCGGUGCAUUAGCUAGUUGGUGAGGUAACGGCUCACCAAGGCCACGAUGCAUAGCCGACCUGAGAGGGUGAUCGGCCACAUUGGGACUGAGACACGGCCCAAACUCCUACGGGAGGCAGCAGUAGGGAAUCUUCGGCAAUGGACGAAAGUCUGACCGAGCAACGCCGCGUGAGUGAAGAAGGUUUUCGGAUCGUAAAACUCUGUUGUUAGAGAAGAACAAGGAUGAGAGUAACUGUUCAUCCCUUGACGGUAUCUAACCAGAAAGCCACGGCUAACUACGUGCCAGCAGCCGCGGUAAUACGUAGGUGGCAAGCGUUGUCCGGAUUUAUUGGGCGUAAAGCGAGCGCAGGCGGUUUCUUAAGUCUGAUGUGAAAGCCCCCGGCUCAACCGGGGAGGGUCAUUGGAAACUGGGAGACUUGAGUGCAGAAGAGGAGAGUGGAAUUCCAUGUGUAGCGGUGAAAUGCGUAUAUAUAUGGAGGAACACC
Molecule: ribosomal RNA, 697 nt
Filed under: Enterococcus durans
Lineage: Bacteria; Bacillati; Bacillota; Bacilli; Lactobacillales; Enterococcaceae
Description: bacterial SSU rRNA
Rfam family: Bacterial small subunit ribosomal RNA
Source: RNAcentral